Eptesicus fuscus (big brown bat) is the source of this 639-nucleotide long non-coding RNA. RefSeq lists it as uncharacterized. The record is from RefSeq and is a predicted model, not a curated record. The transcript is spliced from 4 exons. NCBI's taxonomy places the organism in Eukaryota, Metazoa, Chordata, Mammalia, Chiroptera, Vespertilionidae.
UGUCAUAACAGAAUGCUCAUGUGGGUUCUGGAGGGACACAAUCCAGUCUAUCGCACCCAGAAGUUCUCUUCUAACUGGGAACCCUUCCAGUAGCUUGGGUUCCUUGUUCCAGGGAUCUCACUUCAUGUCCUGGGCCAUUUGCUUCUAAUGGAGCUACAAAAGCCAUGUGAAAACUGGACAAACACUAAAGCAGGCACGAUUAAUCCAGGGGCUGCUGGAAGGCCCAGCACUGGGAUCAUCUGAAGACUUGCUCUCCCAGGUCUUGCCAUUGAUGCUAGCUAUCGAGUGAAACCGUCACCGGCGCCAUUGCUGCAACACCUUCAGGAAGCCUCCCUGUGUGGCCUGGGCUUCCUCACGGCAUGCUGGCUCCGUUCCAAUGGAUGGAGCAUGAUUUCAUUGGAAUGGUUGGAAAAGCUUUUCAAUUCCAAGCAGUGACUCAAGGCAUCAUUUGGUACUGCCAGCAUGAAUGAAAAUCGUGCUGGGCUUCUCAUGGGCAGGAUGAUAAGGCACAUAAGCCUGCCAUCCAGCCUGACUUCAUCUGGGUCUUUCACCCUCAUCUUCCAACUCUUAUUACUCUCUGCAAAAGAAGAUGGAAAUAUUCAUGGCUGAAUUGAGUUAAUUAAAGGUAUUUCCCCCUUU